This 363-nucleotide ribosomal RNA is filed under the name Carininidae sp. 13DS. Its description in RNAcentral is "partial 16S ribosomal RNA". It matches the Rfam family "Bacterial large subunit ribosomal RNA", at positions 1946 to 2544 of the family's 2925-position model. The record is from RNAcentral. Lineage: Eukaryota; Metazoa; Nemertea; Palaeonemertea; Carinomiformes; Carininidae.
CCGUGCAAAGGUAGCGUAAUCAUUUGUUUUUUAAUUGAGGACUUGAAUGAAUGAAGUUAUGAGGAAGAUUCUGUCUCUUUAUAUUUUUUGUAAGUUUCUUUUAGGGUGAAGAAGCCUUUUUUGAGGCAUUAGACGAUAAGACCCUAUUGAGUUUUACUUUAUGUUUAAGUUUUUUUUUAUUUUUAUAUUUUAGAUUUAAAAUAGAGUUUGGUUGGGGCGACCUAGGAGAAAACUUUAACCUCUUUUUUUGUAUUAAUCCAUUUUUUGUGAAUUAAAAAUAAAUUACCAUAGGGAUAACAGCGUAAUUUUUUUUGAGAGUUCUUAUUAAUAAAAAAGUUUGCGACCUCGAUGUUGGACUUAGGA